UACGAAGGGUGCUAGCGUUGUUCGGAAUCACUGGGCGUAAAGCGCGCGUAGGUGGCUUUUCAAGUCAGGGGUGAAAUCCCACGGCUCAACCGUGGAACUGCCUCUGAAACUGUAAAGCUUGAGUGUCGGAGGGGAUAGCGGAAUUGCUAAUGUAGAGGUGAAAUUCGUAGAUAUUAGCAGGAACACCGGUGGCGAAGGCGGCUAUCUGGACGACAACUGACACUGAGGCGCGAAAGCGCGGGGAUCAAACAGG
RNAcentral lists this ribosomal RNA (253 nucleotides) under uncultured prokaryote. Its description in RNAcentral is "partial 16S ribosomal RNA". It matches the Rfam family "Bacterial small subunit ribosomal RNA", at positions 524 to 776 of the family's 1533-position model. The record is from RNAcentral.